UCCGUGGCUCAGGACGAACGCUGGCGGCGCGCCUAACACAUGCAAGUCGAACGGAGUUACUUUUCAGAUCCCUUCGGGGUGAAGAGUUGUAAACUUAGUGGCGGACGGGUGAGUAACACGUGAGUAAUCUGCCUUUGUGAGGGGGACAACAGUUGGAAACGACUGCUAAUACCGCAUGAUGUGUUUUUCCCGCAUGAGAGAAACACCAAAGAUUUAUCGCACAAAGAUGAGCUCGCGGCUGAUUAGAUAGUUGGCGGGGUAACGGCCCACCAAGUCGACGAUCAGUAGCCGGACUGAGAGGUUGAACGGCCACAUUGGGACUGAGAUACGGCCCAGACUCCUACGGGAGGCAGCAGUGGGGAAUAUUGGGCAAUGGGCGCAAGCCUGACCCAGCAAUGCCGCGUGAAGGAAGAAGGCUUUCGGGUUGUAAACUUCUUUUGUCAGGGACGAGUAGAAGACGGUACCUGACGAAUAAGCCACGGCUAACUACGUG
RNAcentral lists this ribosomal RNA (493 nucleotides) under uncultured bacterium. RNAcentral describes it as "bacterial SSU rRNA". It matches the Rfam family "Bacterial small subunit ribosomal RNA", at positions 16 to 507 of the family's 1533-position model. The record is from RNAcentral.